CAGAGUGUAGUUGAGAAUGAAGUUUGUAUGAAUAUUUAACAUAUUGUUUCAUUACUAGGACCUGUAGAACCCUUCUAUUGCCAAGUUAAACGUGUAUAGGCUGCAGUAUGAUGGGGUAUAGAAAUGCCAAUAAGAAGCACUCUUUGUACAGGGGACUUGGCUGUUUCUGAUAUGAUUUUAGAGCGUCAGAGAGCUCGGAGGGAGCGCAUGGCCUGUGAAGUCGCCAGUAACCAGCAC
Non-coding RNA from Pelobates cultripes (western spadefoot toad), 237 nucleotides. The record is from the annotation of a GenBank genome assembly. NCBI's taxonomy places the organism in Eukaryota, Metazoa, Chordata, Amphibia, Anura, Pelobatidae.